GGCGGCGCUGCAGCGGGCGGCGCGGGGCCGGAGUCCUGGUGAGGGCCCCCUCCGUGGCCGAGGGCGCCCUCGCUGCCCUGGCACACGAGCUUGUGCUUCUUCCAGUCCUGGCGCUGGCGCUCCUUGCAGCAGAAGGAGCUGCGGCUGCAGCGCAGCAGGUUCUCCAUCUUCCCGCACAGCUCGCAGUACUGCCGGUCUCGCUCGCUCGAGCUCGGCUCGCCGGGCCCGCAGCUGUCAUUGGCCAUGGCGACCGCAGCUGAGCAGGAGGGGUGCGGCCGGACGGCCUCGCCCGAGGCUGGGGAGCGGAGAGAGAGAUAGGGGCCGUCACUGCGCCAUGCACCCGCUACCCUUGACUCAAGGAGGCUGGCACCCAGGGCCCUCGGCCGGGUCGCUUCCGAGUCCUAGGCUCCGGCGCAGCGCAGGCGGCCGCCUCAGCGCCUAAUCGCCGCCGUGGGCUGAGAGAACGCGGCCUGUGCGGCGAACGGCAACCCGGGCUCGGGCGCGCGAGCCUGCGGAGCGCAAGACCGGCCCCCUCGGCUGCCGCCACCGCCUCAGCGUCCCGGGCGGCCCGGCCCAGGCUGCGGAGGAGCGCAGGGUUCUUUCUGCAAGUCUUCCACCAGGGCCACUGCCUCCUCUCCACUCUCCGGAUGCUGCUGUCUGACCCAGAUCUGGAUCUCCUGGAGAAGGACAGUCGGGAACUGUUCUAGGACCAGCAACUCCAGGAUCUGCUCUUUUGUACACUUCUCUGGCCUUAGCCACUGACAACAGAGCUUCUGGAGCUGGAGGAGGGCCUCUCGGGGUCGUGAUGCUUCUUGGUAACGGAAAUGCCAAAAGCUCUGGCAGGAUGUCUCUGGUCCAGGGUAAUUCCCUUGAAGGGAAAUUUCCUGCUCCCAGUGGGAAUCUUCUUCCAGUUUAACUAUUUGGAGAUCUUGUACUGAAGGAGUCUGGAUUUGUUGGUCCACAGCUACAGCCAUUGUUCAGGUCAGAGAAGAGCUUUGCAACCGCACUCUAAAGCUCAAACCUCUUCAUCACCUCACUGGGAAGCCAUCUUAGAACUUCCACUUAGGAGUCACUAAGUGGAACUUCUCUUGAAAUUCUAGAGUCAGAGACAUACAUUACAAAGUUAACUCUAGUAAAAAUCGCAAGUGUUAGCCCAGCAGGCUUGAGGUGAAGAAGAGAGCCUUCCUGUCCCAGCCCUGUUGCAUGCCCUGGUGCCUGUGGAGUCACUGGUGGGGUGGCAGUUCCGGAAGUUUGAUAAGAGGAGUCAAGGGCUAGUGACCUGGUUGAAAAGUAGAGGAGCUUGAAGCUGAGAGAAUACGGACGAUUCGGCCCCGUGACAUGUUCUUAGCGGGGACGCAAGAAGCCCGAGCCCAGGUCCCAAACACGGCUAUUCGGCUAGCCACUGAGCACCGGAAGCGGAAAACCUAGCCCCAGAAGGACUCCGUGUUCUCCGGAACUACAUUUCCCAGAGGCCGCCGCCCGAAGACAGACAGCAGCGUUAGCCCAUAAAAUGGGAGAAUAUCUCAGGCGCCUAUUCGUUUCAGACGAAUCAUUGAUGACAGGGUCUCUCUCUGUUGCCCGGCUGGAUUCUGGGCCUGAUCAUCGCUCACUGCAGCCCUGGCC
RNAcentral lists this long non-coding RNA (1623 nucleotides) under Homo sapiens (human). Its description in RNAcentral is "LHRI_LNC55.3". The record is from RNAcentral. Lineage: Eukaryota; Metazoa; Chordata; Mammalia; Primates; Hominidae.